This 440-nucleotide ribosomal RNA is filed under the name uncultured bacterium. RNAcentral's name for it is "partial 16S ribosomal RNA". It matches the Rfam family "Bacterial small subunit ribosomal RNA", at positions 338 to 795 of the family's 1533-position model. The record is from RNAcentral.
CCUACGGGUAGCUGCAGUGGGGAAUAUUGCACAAUGGGCGAAACCCUGAUGCAGCGACGCCGCGUGAGUGAAGACGUAUUUCGGUAUGUAAAGCUCUAUCAGCAGGGAAGAAAAUGACGGUACCUGAGUAAGAAGUCCCGGCUCACUACGUUCCAGCAGCCGCGGUAAUACGUAGGGGGCAAGCGUUAUUCGGAUUUACUGGGUGUAAAGGGAGCGUAGGCGGGGAAGAAAGUCUGACGGUAAAGCCCGCGGCUCAACCGUGGAAUUGCUUUGGAAACUGUUUCGCUGGAGUACCGGAGAGGUAAGCGGAAUUCGUGGUGUAGCGGUGAAAUGCGUAGAUAUUAGGAGGAACACCAGUGGCGAAGGCGGCUUACUGGACGGUAACUGACGUUGAGGCUCGAAAGCGUGGGGAGCAAACAGGAUUAGAUACCCGGGUAGUC